AAAGGGUAAAUAAAGAAGCAAGUAAGUUAGCAGAAGAAUCAAACAAAAAAUCAAGAAAGCAAAUAAACAAUGACGUAUGGAAGAAAUUAUGCAUGUAUACAGUAUGAAAGUAGGUAUAUAUGAAUGCAUGUAUGUAUUUAUGUAUGUAUGUUUUGUAUUUUUAAGUGAUUGCGCAGAACCCAUGUAUGGAGGUUUGAGAUACACCACAUUAGAAUUUGAAAUCGGUUGAUGCAGAAGAAAAUAGACCUACAAGAUAAAAAUAAAUGAGUAAGCCAACACCAAAAUCAGACUUGGAACUUGGAGAAUCAAAACAGACUAACAGAGACAUGAAAGGAAACCACCAACCUGCAGAAUUUCAAGUGACCAGUGUUUUCUUCAUGAAACAGAGAUGUGGUUACUCUGAAACAUUGAUUCAAAUCCAAAGUUAUACAAUAUAAAGAGGGUGAUAAAUCCAUACUUCACCAAAGAA
Molecule: long non-coding RNA, 469 nt
Filed under: Brassica napus (rape)
Lineage: Eukaryota; Viridiplantae; Streptophyta; Magnoliopsida; Brassicales; Brassicaceae
Description: long non-coding RNA (BNAP_LNC026743)
Source: RNAcentral